Molecule: non-coding RNA, 816 nt
Organism: Pelobates cultripes (western spadefoot toad)
Lineage: Eukaryota; Metazoa; Chordata; Amphibia; Anura; Pelobatidae
Source: the annotation of a GenBank genome assembly
GUGCUGCUCAGGUAGUGUGGGUUAUAGGAGGUGUGGGGAGCUGCAGUGAGUGUGCUGCUCAGGUAGUGUGGGUUAUAGGAGGUGUGGGGAGCUGCAGUGAGCGUGCUGCUCAGGUAGUGUGUUAUAGGAGGUGUGGGGAGCUGCAGUGAGGUGUGGGGAGCUGCAGUGAGCGUGCUGCUCAGGUAGUGUGUGUUAUAGGAGGUGUGGGGAGCUGCAGUGAGUGUGCUGCUCAGGUAGUGUGGGUUAUAGGAGGAGUGGGGAGCUGCUGUGAGUGUGUUGCUCAGGUAGUGUGUGGUUAUAGGAGGUGUGGGGAGCUGCAGUGAGGUGUGCUGCUCAGGUAGUGUGGGUUAUAGGAGGUGUGGGAGCUGCAGUGAGGGUGCUGCUCAGGUAGUGUGGGUUAUAGGAGGUGUGGGGAGCUGCAGUGAGUGUGCUGCUCAGGUAGUGUGUGUUAUAGGAGGUGUAUGAGCUGCAGGGGGGCUGCCAGGUAGUGUGUGUGUUAUAGGAGGUGUGUGAACUCCAGCUCAGGUAGUGUUGGAGUUAUAGGAGUUUUGCUCAGGUAGUGUGUGUUAUAGGAGGUGUGGGGAGCUGCAGUGAGUGUGCUGCUCAGGUAGUGUGGGUUAUAGGAGGUGUGGGGAGCUGCAGUGAGUGCUGCUCAGGUAGUGUGUGUUAUAGGAGGUGUGGGGAGCUGCAGGAGGUGUGCUCAGGUAGUGUGUGUUAUAGGAGGUGUGGGGAGCUGCAGUGAGCGUGCUGCUCAGGUAGUGUGGGUUAUAGGAGGUGUGGGGAGCUGCAGUGAGUGUGCUGCUCAGGUAAUGUGGG